This is a long non-coding RNA of Homo sapiens (human), 551 nucleotides long. The record is from Ensembl. Lineage: Eukaryota; Metazoa; Chordata; Mammalia; Primates; Hominidae.
GAAAUGUUUUGUUAGCCAUCAGGCAAACUGAAAAUAGAUUUAGAAAGUAUUUAAGAUUCAUUUUUUCAAUGCACAGUAAUUGAGAAACCUGUAUGUGCCAGGCACUGUGUUAGCACUGGAGCUCUAAAGGGCAGAAGGCUGAAUGUGAUAGAUGGAUCUCUACCUUCAGGGUGCAGUCUAGUAACACAUAGAAGGACUGAGACCAAUAGCCAUGUUGAAGAGGAGACGAUGGUUCUCCCAUCACCUUCAUUACUCCACCUGCUGCUCAUGAAGGUUGCUGCGGGAUGUGCUGAUUAACUUGUGUUUUGGUCGAAAUCUGAAGUGAUGCUGAAUCUUCGUCCUUUAAUGUUGUCUGUUUUAUUGUUGAACAAUUUUAUCAUGCAUCGUGUGAACUUUUAUGCUUAUGGUGUGUAUCAUCACAGCACUGGACAAUAAUGACUCACACAGUAGAAUAACAUAACUGUAUACUUGCAUCAAGGGUAGUUAAAACAUGGUAAGGUUUUCUCAUGUCUUUAUUAAUAAUGAUUAAAAAAUUAAUUAUUCACCUCUGA